Molecule: ribosomal RNA, 521 nt
Filed under: uncultured Planctomycetales bacterium
Lineage: Bacteria; Pseudomonadati; Planctomycetota; Planctomycetia; Planctomycetales
Description: bacterial SSU rRNA
Rfam family: Bacterial small subunit ribosomal RNA
Source: RNAcentral
UAGGAACCUGAAAGGGGGACGAACGGUAUCCAGUCCGUAGCUAUUACAGGUGUUGCAUGGCUGUCGUCAGCUCGUGUCGUGAGACGUUGGGUUAAGUCCCCUAACGAGCGAAACCCUUGUUUUUAGUUACCAGCGGGUUAUGCCGGGUACUCUAGAAAGACUGCCGUCGUCAAGACGGAGGAAGGUGGGGAUGACGUCAAGUCAUCAUGGCCCUUAUGCCCCGGGCUGCACACGUGCUACAAUGGUCGGUACAGACGGAAGCGAAGCCGAGAGGUGAAGCGAAUCCUAAAAAGCCGAUCUCAGUUCGGAUUGGAGGCUGAAAUUCGCCUCCAUGAAGUUGGAAUCGCUAGUAAUCGCGGAUCAGCAAUGUCGCGGUGAAUAUGUUCCCGAGCCUUGUACACACCGCCCGUCAAGCCACCCAAGCAGGAUGCACCCGAAAACAUUAUAUCUAACCAGGGCAACUUGGAGGAAAAUGUUGAAGGAGUGUUUUGUGAGGAGGACUAAGUCGUAACAAGGUAACC